This 450-nucleotide ribosomal RNA is filed under the name uncultured bacterium. Its description in RNAcentral is "partial 16S ribosomal RNA". It matches the Rfam family "Bacterial small subunit ribosomal RNA", at positions 354 to 796 of the family's 1533-position model. The record is from RNAcentral.
GUGGGGAAUAUUAGACAAUGGGCGAAAGCCUGAUCCAGCCAUGCCGCGUGUGUGAAGAAGGUCUUCGGAUUGUAAAGCACUUUAAGUUGGGAGGAAGGGCAGUAAGUUAAUACCUUGCUGUUUUGACGUUACCGACAGAAUAAGCACCGGCUAACUUCGUGCCAGCAGCCGCGGUAAUACGAAGGGUGCAAGCGUUAAUCGGAAUUACUGGGCGUAAAGCGCGCGUAGGUGGUUUUGUAAGUUGGAGGUGAAAUCCCCGGGCUCAACCUGGGAACUGCCUCCAAAACUGCAUGACUAGAGUACGGUAGAGGGUAGUGGAAUUUCCUGUGUAGCGGUGAAAUGCGUAGAUAUAGGAAGGAACACCAGUGGCGAAGGCGACUACCUGGACUGAUACUGACACUGAGGUGCGAAAGCGUGGGGAGCAAACAGGAUUAGAUACCCCUGUAGUCC